RNAcentral lists this ribosomal RNA (506 nucleotides) under uncultured bacterium. RNAcentral's name for it is "partial 16S ribosomal RNA". It matches the Rfam family "Bacterial small subunit ribosomal RNA", at positions 29 to 523 of the family's 1533-position model. The record is from RNAcentral.
AUUGAACGCUGGCGGCAGGCCUAACACAUGCAAGUCGAACGGCAGCACAGAAGAGCUUGCUCUUUGGGUGGCGAGUGGCGGACGGGUGAGUAAUGUCUGGGAAACUGCCCGAUGGAGGGGGAUAACUACUGGAAACGGUAGCUAAUACCGCAUAACGUCGCGAGACCAAAGUGGGGGACCUUCGGGCCUCACACCAUCGGAUGUGCCCAGAUGGGAUUAGCUAGUAGGUGGGGUAAUGGCUCACCUAGGCGACGAUCCCUAGCUGGUCUGAGAGGAUGACCAGCCACACUGGAACUGAGACACGGUGCAGACUCCUACGGGAGGCAGCAGUGGGGAAUAUUGCACAAUGGGCGCAAGCCUGAUGCAGCCAUGCCGCGUGUAUGAAGAAGGCCUUCGGGUUGUAAAGUACUUUCAGCGGGGAGGAGGGCGGUGAGGUUAAUAACCUCGCCGAUUGACGUUACCCGCAGAAGAAGCACCGGCUAACUCCGUGCUAGCAGCCGCCGUAA